ACCGUCUGGUCUUUGACAACAGUGUAUGGGCCGCACGACUCACAGCGCAAGCAAGCCUUCCUCAACGAGCUCGCCGACAUUCAUAACUUAGUGUCAGGGCCUUGGUUGCUGAUAGGGGAUUUUAACCUGAUUGCGGACCCUAGGGACAAAAACAACAACCGCAUCUGCCGAUGAUGGAUGAACAAAUUUAGACGAACUCUGAAUAGGUCCAGCCUACACGAGUUGCCGCUAAUUGGCGGAAGGUUCACAUGGAGCAAUGAACAAGACUCGCCUACUUUACCGUGCAUUCUGCAAUGUUGA
This 300-nucleotide ribosomal RNA is filed under the name Triticum aestivum (bread wheat). RNAcentral's name for it is "partial small subunit ribosomal RNA". Lineage: Eukaryota; Viridiplantae; Streptophyta; Magnoliopsida; Poales; Poaceae. The record is from RNAcentral.